Molecule: long non-coding RNA, 12800 nt
Filed under: Coffea arabica (coffee)
Lineage: Eukaryota; Viridiplantae; Streptophyta; Magnoliopsida; Gentianales; Rubiaceae
Description: long non-coding RNA (CARA_LNC002304)
Source: RNAcentral
GACUGUGAUGUAUACAAAAUAAUCCCCUCAGACUGUGCCCCGCCUUGGCUAAGGCAUCCGCCACUUGAUUCAUUUCCCGAUAACAAUGCCCCACCGUCCACUCCACACCCUGCAUUGCCAGUAAACCUAUGCAUAUCUCACUUACACUUACAGAUCAGCAACACAUAAUUAUCAGUAAGAAUUUAAAUUACAUCUGAUGAAUGCAAAAAACAUCAAAAUACACGAAAUAAAUUCUCUUUUAAGACGACAGAGUACAGAUAACCAAGUUCACUCUUUGAAAACAAUCUACAUUUAGACUAACUUCUUGUGAAAUGGUGCAAUGAACAGGCAGGUGCACCUUCGUAUCCUGUGUUCUUGGGGAGAAGGGAUGGACUAGAAUCAAAUGCUGCUUGGGUAGACUACCCCUCACCUUCAAGUUCCUGGGAGACAGUGGUGACAUAUGCCAAUUCUAAAGGUUUGGAUGAGCAAGACUUGGUUACACUCUUAGGUAAUGCUUUCUUGAUUUCUGAGUUCUGACAUGUUGAUAAAACUUAGGUCAAUGGGCAACUAAAUGGAUUUUGUUUCAUUCCGAUUGGUAUUUCAGGGGCACAUACAAUGGGAAGAACACAUUGCCAGUUCAUCAGGGAUCGCCUUUACAAUUUCAAGAGCACAGGUAAACCAGACCCCAGAAUGAAGAAGUCUUUACUGAAAGAUCUGAGGCAGCAAUGCCCUCCCAAUACACCAAAAGGGAAAGAAGAUCCUCUUGUCUAUUUAAACCCUGAAAAUGGCCCGGGAUACAAGUUUACUAACAGCUACUACAAAAGGGUAGAGUCCUAUCAAGCUGUUCUUGGAGUUGAUCAGCAGGUAUUGUGGGGUAACCACUCGCUGGUUGAUGCAUAUGCAAAAUAUUUCGAGCAAUUCCGCAGAGAAUUUGCUUUGUCAAUAAGCAGAAUGGGAGGCCUUAGAGUUUUGACUGGGAAGAAGGGGGAAAUACGGCGGAAUUGCCGUUUCACAAAUGGAAAUAAUCCUAGCAUCAAGUAGAGCUGAUUUAUCCUAAGUUUAUACAUGUUAUUUGUUAUUUUUGUACAAGUGUAUUAAACAAGAUGAAGAAGAACAUCCGAGCAAUAAAACAUUCAAUGUCCAAUGUUCCCUAAAAUAUAACGCUAUCAAGAAUUUCUAUGAUGACAUGUUCUAGUAAAUCCUAGCAAAGAAAGCCUCUGCAAAUAUUUGUUGAAGAAUUGUUAAUAGACAGUCAACAAUCUCUAAAUACGCAUCUUCGCGCUAAUUUUUGAAAGCGGACGAACUAAAUCGAUUGCAUUGCUAAGCGUGUGGUAAUUGAAAUUAAUAGAAGUAACAAAGUUGAUUUAAAACCUAAAAGAACUGAUUGAAAACUCGAAAAUAAAUAUAAAGGAAGUGGACCUAAAUCUGACUCAUCAUAGAUUGUUAUUUGUCCUGCCUUGAUCAGCUCAGGGAUUUAAACUUGCUGUGCAAUAGUGACUAAUAUGGAAAGAAAUAAUUAAGGAAAUUGAUGAAAAUUUCUCGUAAUAAAACUCGCCAUCAGCUUCAACCAAAAAAAGGGGGGGGGGUGUAGACCCAUGAUUGCCUCAACAAUGUAGAUUUACACAAAUGACGAAAGAAAGUUCAAUAAAGUUGAGUCUAGUUCUAAUUGUAAUUUGUAGAAUAUCUAAAUGAGAGUUAAAUCCUAAAGGAACUAGACAGGUUCUUCAAAUAGUCAUUUUUCGUUGUUUUUGAGAAUUAUCUCUUUUUUACCUUGUCCACAAGUAUUUAUAGUUGAGAUUUCUUGUAGUAAUUGCUAUGAUGACUAACUGGUUCCAGAUGAUUUUCCUAUGUUUCUCUAUCUUCUAAGGUCCCCUAGUCCACUAGAUUAGUCGCUAUUUUGCCAACCACAAUUUCACCAAAUUAGCCACUAUCUUAAUCUAUGGUGUUGUAACAACCUCGUCUCAUGACUCUAUCAUCAGCUAGCACCUCUCAUGCCAAAAUCAUCUGUAUCAAUAUCAUCUGUCAUCAGUACCAGUAUGCUAUCGAUAACGACUUGUCGAUCACCACUAGUUGGAUUACCCACCACUGAUGAAUGUCAUCGAUAACAGCACUUAGAUCAGCCACAUAGUCGAUUCAUAUUGCACUAACAGCCAUCUCACGGGCUCUUAAACAAGUCUCUUUAAGCUAGAUUUCACAUAGCUCCUAAGAGCACAAACCAUGUUUUGCACGUUAAGACUUGUUUGAUAAUCUAAUUCAAUAUUUAAACUUAAAUAUGUUUAGUCCUUAAUAUUCAGACAUGUUUAGUAACAAAAAAUAGAAUAUUUAUGUUUGACAAAAUUAAAAUAUGAAAUCUGAAUUCAUUAAGUUAUUAAAUUAUAAAUACUGAAAUCUUAACAUUUGAGUGCAUUUUGCGUUAAGUAAUAAGUAAAUAGUUUAUUACUUAUUUUUUAAAGUAAAUUUUGCCUACAUAAUUCAAACCCACUUAAUUAAUUAAGAUGAUAUAUUUUUGGCUAUCAAACAUAUAUGAACAUGCUAAGAUCUCAUCCAUUAUGUAAAUAUUGAAUUGGAUUGUCAAACCAGGCCUAAGGUCCCAUUUGGGGUUGCGGUGUUUUUGAUAAAAAAAAGAAGAAGUAAUUUUAGGUGUUAAAAGUAUUUUUAAAGUGUUUGGUGAACAUCAUCCCAUAAAAUUAGGAGUGGAACUUUUGAUGUUAAAAGCACUUUUAGCAAAAGUUCAAAUUUAGUGCUUUUAGAGUAACUUUGUGAUUUAAAAAAUAAAAUAUCAAAUUUAAUCAUCUUAUCCUAUAUUAUGAACCAAAUAAAGAGAUAAAUACUUUAAAAAUUUUCAAAUUACACAUUAUCCAAUAUAAUAAACACUUAUUGAAUUAUGUCUCCAAACAAUAAAUUUAAAAGUACUUAAGCAGUUGAUAAGUACUUUUAUCAAAAGUUCUACUAGAGAAGUACUCUUCAAUAAACUAUUACAAUCCCAAACGGGCCCUAAGUGAUUUUAAAUUAUUUAGGCAAAACUUACUCUAAAAGUAACUGUUCACUUAUUAUUUAAAACACAAUACACUCAAAUGUUAAGAUAUCAUUACUUAAAGAUUUGAUACUUUAAUAGAUUUAGAUUUCAGAUUUCAAUUUUAUCAAAAGCAGCCUAAAUCUCAUCUCAAGCUAGUUUCUGCCUAAGCUCCUCAUCAGCUUCAUGCAUGUCCAUAACUACUGCUGAUGAGUGGCGGCUAAAUUUACUCAAACAAUGUGUGAAAGAAAGAAGAUUUUGGUUACUCCUAACUUGCGCGAAGAAUUCUUGGACAGCCUCAAUCCAUGCGACAGAAGAUUUUAGACUGUAUUAUCCAGAACCGAAAGAUUAAGAGAAUCAAGGCUUCAUGAGUGAUCACAAUAACUAAACUGCAGCCCAUUAGAAACAGAUAAAACUAGAGAAUGCAAAAGUUCUUGUGCCAUGUAUGCAUGCCAAGAGAUGAUUAAGAUAGUUUUUAUUUGCACUCGAUUUAUCUUUAGGAUUCUUAUAUAUAGCUGAAUUUUCAGAUAGCAACAGUUAAAUAUCGCAAAGUAUUAAGUUAAAAAAAAGUUGGAAUAAGUUAUACAAUUUAAAUACAAUUCUCUAGAUUUUCCUAAUCGAAUGUAUUGAUGGGUGUGGAUACCUCGGCCAUCUUGACUCAGGAGGUACCUUGGUUAUCCUGACCUCGAAAAUACCUGGACAAGUUGGGUUUUGCCGGUCCCCAUUUGGAUGACUUGUUUAUUUGAGCACUGUGAUCAGAUUGAUGAUUGAUAUGAUUAAUAUGACAACAAACCACUCUAUAAUUCAAUCCUACUUCUGAUACAGUCGUUAUGUCUUAUCUUACGAGAUCAUGCUGCUAAUAGAUCUCAUUAUUCUAUUCCCUAACUCUUUUAGUAUAAAUACAACCCUUGCUCACUCAAAAGGGGGCACUUCAACUUGGUCAAUACAACUCCUGACUAUUAUUGACUUAAGCAUUGGAAUGACCCCGAGGGAUUUAGCCCCAACCACUUCUUAUUUUAUAAGUGAGAUCGUUUUGUGCUUGACCUCGGACGUAGCUGCUAUUGUUUUUGCUAGUGAAGCACACUAUCGGUAGAUAGGACGAGCGGAGAUUCUUAGAAAGAGCAAACUAUAGUCCGUUUGAUUUGUUCCUCUCUGAAAAAUUACAUGGUUAUAAACCCAGCUCGAACCGGCUGAUUAGACCCAAAAAACCACCAAUUGGACUGUUUUCCGGGUUGGUUAACCCCUCAAAUCUGGACGGCUUCAAAAGAUGUUCAAUUUCCUUAAAAAAAAAAAAAAAAAAAAACCUGUGAAUCGCUGAUUUGGACCGGUUUGAAGGGAACCGGUCUGGUUUAACAUUAGUAGUUCAAUUAAUGCUAAAAUUAAAUGUUCGUCAAGACAACCCAAUUUUGGUAUACAAUCAAUUACCUAUCCAUAAUUGUCCCAAAUUACUACACAUUAAGCAAUUAACCGUUUAUUAUCCUUAAUCUUCUCUCUAGCUCCCUCCUUCCAUAAAAUGCAAAAACUAAGAUAUUUUAUUUGGGCACAAGAACACUACUUAUUGAUGUCUAAAUACAUGCACGUAAUUUAUACUUACAUAUGUACUAAAACCUGUUUUCUGACUCUUUAAUAUAUUCCUAACUUCGCACAUUUUAGUUCAAUUCCUUUUACAAGAUUAUGACUUUUCAUUUGAUUUUUUUUAAUUUUUGAAUAGUAAACUAUAGCUUUUGAAAACAUAAAAUGUGCUUUGCUAAAAUAUCUAAAGUAACCUGAAGUAAUGCUCCUUACUUCAAUCAAUAAAAGUUGUGUCCAUAAUUCAAAUAAUAUCAUUUAUGUAACUAGAAUAAUUGACGUGAUUACUUUUACAAAAUGAAAAACUUUACGAAUACAAAUGAUUUACAUAACUAAUAAAUUUAUCUAAUAUUUUAUGGGUAAAUUAUGGACUAAUAACAGUUAGCCUGCCUGUUGAAGUGAAUAGGCUUAGUAAAAAACCGAGUAAAUUAGCUAUGCAUAUACUUUAAUGAGAAACUCUAAGCUACUCAGUGGCGUGGUCCACUUUUGUAAAAUUUAAGUCGAAGCCCUUACUCAUAUAAUGUAUUGUUCUCUUUAUUAUUAUUAAUAAAAUUUCUAUCGUUUCUGGAAAAAAAAAAAAGAAUAGGUUGGGAUUCAAAUCCUUGGAAAAUUAUCUGAUUUACCAGAAGGCCUUGUAAUGCAAUGUAAGUUACUUCUCUUGUUUUUAAAUUAAUUAGCGGCACGAGUUUUACUCAAGUUGGUUUAUUUGAUGAAUGAACAACGUCUCUUUUCUUCCACGGCAUAGGAUCUAAUUUUGUUGUCUAUAGACGUUCAUCUAGAAGAGCAUCAAUGUCAAACAGACAGAAUACGACACACAUUGAGUUAAUAAAAUACCCUCAACAUUCUCAUCCUUGAAAAGGAACAAAAUAGCAGUCAAUAUUUCCCCAAAAUGUAAAGAUUAGCAGAGAAAACGUGGAUCUGAGGUCUAUCUAGUUAAAUUCUAUCUGUCCAGUUUUGUGUUGAAAUAAAUUUAUAUAAAAUUUGAUAUAAUCAUAAAAAUUUUCAACUCAUACAACUAAAUUGGUAUAAAAUUCAAUGUUACAUUAAAAUUGCACUGAAUUUACUAUAAAUGUUAUAAAUAUUGCAUUAAUCCAACUGAACUGGAUAGAACUUAAUUGGAGAGGGCUGAUUCCAGAAAAAGUCUAUGAUCAGCUAUAACACUUGCAUUUAGUUCCCACAUAAGCAGUACAACUGCUACGGCAAAACAGAGACUGACCUUUAUCUGCCUGAGUUCUUGGUACAGUAAUAUUUUACGUCGAGGAUUCAGCUCCAAAUCACUAUAUAAGUGCAUUCCACUAGCAAGGUCUCCACAUCCAAAUCUCCAGCAGAACAUAGCAGCACUUGCAUGUAAUCUGCUUUAAUGGAUUUCUCCAAAGUUCUGAUUAGUCUUUUUGCUCUUCAAGUAACGAUCAAUUUGUUUUCAAUCCAAGCUGUUUCAGCAGCACGAUCAGAUCUUUUCCGAGAAUACAUUGGGGCAGAGUUCAAGAAUGUCAAAUUCUCAGACGUGCCAAUUCAUUCCAAUGUCGAUUUCCACUUCAUCCUAUCAUUCGCUAUCGAUUAUGAUACCUCAUCUUCUCCCUCGCCAACAGAUGGAAACUUCAACGUGUUCUGGGACACGGAUAAUCUCAGCCCUGAUGCUGUCUCAGCGAUCAAAAGUCAGCAUCCAAACGUGAAAGUAGCUCUAAGCUUAGGAGGUGAUAGUAUAGGAGAUGGUCAGUCUGUUUAUUUCCAGCCUUCUUCAGUUGACUCAUGGGUUUCCAAUGCUGUCUCCUCUCUUACAAAAAUCAUCCAACAAUACAAUCUGGAUGGUAUCGACAUUGACUACGAGCAUUUCCAUGCAGAUCCUGACACUUUUUCUCAAUGCAUUGGUAAACUUAUAUCGACUCUCAAGAAAAAUGGGGUGAUCUCUUUCGCAUCAAUUGCCCCUUUUGAUGAAGAUGAUGUUCAAAGCCAUUAUCAAGCUCUCUGGAAUAGCCAUGGCCAACUUAUUGACUUAGUCAAUUUCCAGUUUUAUGCCUAUGAUCAGGGGACUACUGUUGAUCAGUUCAUGGACUAUUUUUCUCAGCAAAUAAGCAAUUAUGAUGGUGGGAAAAUCUUGGCCAGUUUCAUCAGUGAUGGAAGUGGUGGAUUAUCACCACAAGAUGGAUUUUUUACAGCUUGUACUAGGCUCAAGAGUCAGGGACAACUUGGUGGGAUCUUUGUUUGGUCUGCUGAUGAUUCUAAGGCAGAAGGUUUUCGGUACGAGAAGCAAUCACAAGCACUUCUAGCAAUCCCUCAUUAACCUUGUAUUGUAUAAUUGUUAGUCUCUAUUGAUGUAUUUCAUCUAAAGGAAACUAUAUCCCCAUCUUUGGUAUGACUGUCUGUGGAUUAUAGUAGAAAUUGAUACUCAAUAUGAAAAAUCUUGUUUGUCCUAUGGUUUGGUUCCAGGAAAUGUAUCUGGCUUUCCUUUCUUGUUUUAGAUUGAGGUAGCAAAUUAUUCAGCUAUAAGGUCUACUAGAAUGGUCCAAUAACUUUUGGUCUAAACCCAUAAGUUUAAAAUGAUUAAUUCAAAGUUAUUAUAGCCCAAUGGAUCCAUAUAUUAUACCAAUCCUUUCUUCCUUGAGAUCAACACCGUUAUGAUCCAAAUUGUCCACUUAAUCGUACACACAGAUUCUUCUGGAAAUGACUCGUACACAUUUUAAAGGUGGUUUCCAUCCAUAAGUAUUGACAUUGUCAUAAUAUAUCCAAAUUGUCCACUUAAUCGUGUACGGAUUCUUUUAGAAAUAACUUGUACAAGCUUUAGAGAUAGUUCUUGUCCAUAACUCAUACAAGUUUAAGAGCUGAUCCCAUCCAAUGUAAUAUUUAGUAUGUAGUCCGCAGCCUCUUGUAGUAGAAAUGACUCAUACAGACUUUUAAAAUGGUUCUAUCCAUAAGUAUCGACAUCGUUAUGAUCCAAACUAUUAACUUAUCACUCAUACAGGCUAUUUAGUUGUGCGCAAAUUCAUCUAGAAAUAACCCGUAUAAGCUUUAGAGAUGAUUCAUGUCCAUAAGUAUGACUUCUAUAGGCGAUAAAAAUGGUUUCCGUCCAACAUGGUACUUAGUACUUAAUCCCGUAACCUCUAGUAGUGGCCCCUGUUGAACCUAGCCCUUAGCCGUGGCCUGCACUUAGUUUCUUGCACUUCAACUAACACACGUUCACCCUCACAUUGUGCAUAGAUCACGUGACGAGAUUUAUUUUGAUACCAUUUGUAACGUUCCAAGUUGACCAAACUGACCCAAUAACUUUUUGAACAAAAAUCAUGAGUUUAAAAUGAUUAAUCGAAAAUCACUAAUAAUUCAGUGGACUCAGGUAUAUUACACCAAUCCUUUCUUCCAAAAGGUCUCAAUGUGGAACGGAACUGAGUCUCGCAACCACUCUACAAUACUGGUCGCUAUGUAGCCACCAGGUGUCGGCUCUGUGACCUAUCACAAUUCACAUCUACCGUAAAAGACGAGGCACGAAAGAGAAGUGAACGCCAAGUUCGACCCCAACUCUGCACUGUCAAAGUAUCGGCCAAAAUAUCAAGGCAAAAAUUAUUGCUACAAUUGACUAAUCGUGAAAAAUUAAUUAGUACUUUAUUGAAUAAAACUAACCACUUCUUUAUUAGCAGAACUUACUAGCUCAUUGAAUUAAUCAACACUACUUUUUAGCAAAACAUACGGUCUCACAUAGCAAAAAUUUAUUGAUCCAUUAGGGGGUCUUAUUAAUUUCUGAGCAAAAUUUAGUGCUUUUACAAAAUUUACUAGUUUAUUGAAAACUAAUGUCAAUUUCUAGUGAAACUUACGAAUAUUUUUGUGACAAAACUAAUUACUAUCAUUUAAAAAACCAUCAUGAUUUUUUGGCAGAAUUUACCAUUUUUUUCUUUAAUAUUGACUAACUAGAUUAAUCCUUCAUACAUCUUCAACAUAGGAAUUGUUUUUUUGCAUGAUAAUAUCUUCAAAUUUCAUCACAAAGAUUAUACUUAUCCACUAUUAAAAUUCAUCACAAAGAUUAGGAUGAUAAGUAAUAUUUUUUUUCCCUAAACCUGAUAUUUGCUAACAAAUUAUCAACUUGAUGUAUACCAAUUUUUGGAACAAGUUUUCCCCCUAUUGCUAUCACUGGCUUCUCCCAUAUUGGAUUGUUAGAGAAAUUGUAGUAAACAACAAAACUAAACUAGACAAAUGCAGAGACUUUGAGGCUUGAAAUCACUUUUCUUAAGGUGUUAUUUGUCUCUAUUAGACAAAUUGCCUCAAGAAUACAACAAAGUCUAAGAACUAUCAAAUGAAAAGUAAAAAAGUGAUUUAAUUCUGUUGAAAUCCUACUAUUUAAAAGAAUUGAAGCACCUAUCCAAGGCACUAUCAGAGGAUGCAAUCCUUAUUGAAUAGGUGUAUAGGUGGUUAACCAAUUAACAGAUAUGUCUGCAAAAUGUAACUGUCAACCGCCAUUAACUACCCCGAUCAGGAAAGCCCCAAGGUGCCCCAAGCGCCCAAGUGCCCUUGUCAAGAUUUUAUAUAUCUUGAAAUAACUUUCCCACCAAACUUUCCCUCCAAACUAAUAUUUUGGAACAAGUUUGUAAAGGAAACAAGACAACAAUUCAUCAACAGACAAUGUGCACUCUAUCCUUUUUCAAUGUGGGACAAUGAACUUCAGCACACUCAUUACAAACUAUUUCCAACAAUCCCCCACUUAGUUUGUAAUGAAAUUAAAUCAGCACUCACAUGACCUUGCAUAGAGAAAGGUGUUUGUGAACUUAAAACCUUCUCUUAGUGUAAAUAUUUCACUUGUUCUAACAAGUUAUGGUGGCUGUGUUGCUUAAACCAUAACUUUAAAGUUAAAACAGAAAUAGCACACACAAGAUUAUAUCUUUUCGGAGAAUAGUUCACGAAAUGAUUUUAGCACUUUUACCGGCCGUUUGCUCCAUCCUAGGUUCAUAAUCAUGUACAAAAGAAAACCCCCACUGUUGCUAGGAGCGGCACCACUCCCAUGAUCAUAUAGGUGAAGUACAUUUCGAGCUUUUAUUACCAAGGCACUGUGAAACCGUAUUUAACUUCAUUAAGAGUAUGAUACUUAGCCUCUUAAGUAACAAACUGCACUAGUACCUUGGAAUGGUAUAAUACAAUUUCUAGUGCUCACAACCACUUAUUAGUAACUUGUUAUUACCCUUUAAACCUUUCACCUAGUGUUAGUGCUAGAAGAGAGGUUGGGUUACCAUUACUAGUGGUUUUAGACAACGGGUUUUAACCCCAUUCCCAAUGACGUUGCUUACACUACAUCUCUUGAGAGAGCUUUAGUGAAUGGAUCCACCAGGUUGUUGAAUGAUCUAACAUACACCACUGUGACUAUGCCAUCAUUCAAUAAUUGUCUGACAUAUUCAUGUCUUAGACUUAUAUGUCUAGAUUUGCCGUUAUAUAUUCUAUUUAACGCUCUAGACAUAGUGGCUUCGCUAUCACAAUGCAAAGAAAUGGCUGGCAUCGGUUUUGGCCACAACUCGAUGUCUAACAGUAAGUUUCUUAGCCAUUCGGCCUCUUUGCAUGCAGCUGCUAAGGCUACAAAUUCAGCCUCCAUGGUGGAAUGAGUUAUGAAAGUUUGUUUCUUUGAUGCCCAAGAAACAGCUCCUCCACCCAACAUAAAAAUCCAUCCAGAAGUAGACACUUUGUCACAUACACUGGUUGCCCAACUUGCAUCAGAAUAGCCUUCAAGUACAACUGGAAAUUUGUUAUAGGAAAGCUCUAAAUCUUUUGUCCUUUUAAGAUAUCCAAGCACUCUGCCUAUAGCUUUCCAAUGCUCUAUACCAGGAUUCUUAGUGUACCUAGCAAGUCUACAAACUGCAUAUGAAAUAUUUGGCCGAGUACAAUGCAUAGCGUACAUUAGGCUACCAAUUGCACUAGCACACUCUAAUUGAGCAAUCAGCUUUCCAGAAUUUUCAAACAACUUAAAGUUAGGAUCAUAAGGAGUGCUUACUUCUUUUAUCUUCAAAUGUUGAUACUUGUUCAAAACUUUCUCAACAUAAUGAGAUUCACUUAAAGAAUAGCCUCCACUAUGUUUCUUAACUUUAAUUCCUAAGAUAGUAUCUACUUCUCCAAGAUCUUUCAUAUUGAAUAUAUAAGACAAAUACUUCUUAGUUUCUUCAAUGCCUUUGUAAUUAGUACCAACAAUUAGCAUGUCAUCCACAUAUAGACAAAUUAUCACACCAUACUCUCUAGUGAACAUGGAAUAAAUGCACUUAUCAACAUUAUUAUAUUUAAAACCAUUACAGAGUAUAGCAGAUUCAAACUUUUGAUGCCGUUGUUUAGGUACUUGUUUUAAACCAUACAAAGAUCUUAUCAGUUUGCAAACUUUCUUUUCAUUUCCUGGUAGAACAAAACCUUCUGGUUGAUCCAUAUACACCUCUUCAUUUAAGUCACCAUUUAAAAAGGCCGUUUUUACAUCCAUUUGAUGUACACACAAAUCAAACAUUGAAGCCAAUGCUAAUAGCACUCUUAUAGAUGUAAUUCUAGCCACUGGUGCAUAAGUAUCAAAAUAAUCGAUUCCCUCUUUUUGCCUAAAUCCUUUUGCAACUAAUCUUGCCUUAAAAGUUUGUACAGAUCCAUCAGUAGCGUAUUUCUUUCGAAAUACCCACUUACAGCCAAUUGGUUUAGAACCCGGAGGCAAAUCAACUAGAAUCCAAGAAUGAUUACUCGAUAAUGAAUCCAUUUCAUCAUUAAUUGCCUCUCUCCAAAACGAUGCAUCUCUUGAUUUCAUAGUUUCACUAAAAGUUUUAGGAUAAUAUUUUACAGUUAACAAGAUAGGAAUCUUGUCAAGUAGAAAUUGUCUAUCGCCUUCAACUAAAAAAACAAUAGCUUGUGAAUCUAUAAAAUCAGAGGAUAAAUGUUUUUCCUUCCAUUGCCUCUGACUCCUCCUCAAUUCACUUGGAACCUCUACUGCAUCCCUUUUAUUAUUAUUAGAGAGUCUAGCAUUGGAAAUGGGCGGUGGCUCUUGGCUUGAAUCCGUACUCAUUGUCGAAUUAUAAAGAAAUUUAUCUUCCAAAAAUUUGACAACUCUAGAUUCCACAAUGACGUUAGAAUCUAAAUCUAGCAACCGAUAUGCUUUUAAAUUUUCAGCAUAGCCUACAAACACACUUUUAAGUGCUCGAGUUCCCAAUUUAGUUCUUUUAUGAUCAGGGACUCUAUAAAAGGCUAUACAACCCCAAAUUCGAAAAUACUUCAAGUUUGGUUUUCUACCUUUCCAUAAUUCAUAUGGUGAUAUCUUGGAUUUAAGCGAAAUUACUCGAUUAUGUAUAUGACAAGCAGCUAGUAAAGCCUCUCCCCAUAAAUUUUUAGGCAAUCCAGAACUUAUAAUCAUGGCAUUUACCAUGUUUUUCUACAUUUUAAGGGCCAAGCAAGCAUUUUCUACUCAUUGUAAUACAUUUUUUACAUCAUUUAAUUUACUUACAACACCAGGUAUACCAUUUAUUAUUCACAUAUAUGUCUUUUCCUCUACUUCACCUUAUUUAACUCUACACCUCUAUUUUAUAUACACUGCAUGGUCAGUAGAAGGACAAACUAAGAUUGCGUGAUGAGCAUGGACCAACUACUGGAUGCACAAUAAUUCAUAUCAAUUGUAAUACUGUGGCUAUAACUUGUAACUUAUUUACAACAGGAUGUACAUUCAUUUACUUGUUAAAUGUGACUUUGUUUCUCUCCUCUUUCCCUCAUUCCGCUCGACGCUUUACUCGAUGUAAUACCCCUACAUCUUUGAAUAACUACUCUCCCAUUAUAGUCCAUCACUAAAAAGCUGCAUGCUCAUACAUACACAUACGGUACAACUUCACUAUUCUUCUAUCAUUUUCAUUUUAUGUAUUUACUGAAUCUAAUAUUCAGAAGGUUGCUGGUAUAAGAUUCACAAAGUUGCUGACAUAGUUCAAUCACAUUACCUUGGCCCGCUGAGCGCUUUAUGUUUCACCGAACUCGGACAGCGCAGUUGCUUCUGCUAUUAAGUUGCACGAAAAAUGGUGGGCAACGUGAGAUAAUGAAUUCCCUCUUUAAUUCUCUUCUACCUUGUCGCCUGCCUUGCACGCAUUGCUCAUAAAAUUUCCUACCAACUUUGGUCUUCUUUUACUGCACUUUUGUUUCACUAUUUGCCUUCUUCCUUCUUCUUCUGAUGGCAUACCUCAACUCUUCUUCUGAUAUCAGUCGAGUACAUUCACAUACCAAGCCCGCUUUCUUCUCUCCAUUUUGUUUUGUGCGGCUAAUUCAAAUUUUC